GCAUAUCAAUAAGCGGAGGAAAAGAAACUAACAAGGAUUUCCCUUUAGUAACGGCGAGUGAAGUGGGAAAAGCUCAAAUUUUAAAUCACCCGGGUUUCCUUGGUGAAUUGUAAUUUGAAGAAAGUGUUUUGACGUUCGGGUUCGAUUUAAAUCCUUUGGGAUAAGGUAUCAUAGAGGGUUAGAAUCCCGUUUAUGAUUGUUCCUUUGAAUGUCUAUAAUUCACUUUCCAAGAGUCGAGUUGUUUGGGAUUGCAGCUCAAAAAGGGUGGUAAAUUUCACCUAAGGCUAAAUAUAUGCAAGAGACCGAUAGCGAACAAGUACCGUGAGGGAAAGAUGAAAAGAACUUUGAAAAGAGAGUUAAAUAGUACGUGAAAUUGUUGAAAGGGAAACGAUUAAAGUCAGUCAUGUUGGUAGGGAAUCAACUUGAUGGUUUACGGGUUUACUCGUGUUCUUUCGAGUGCACUUCCUUACUUGCUAGUUAGCAUCAAUUUUGGUUAUCAUAUAAAAAUUGAGGGAAGGUGGCUUUUCUUCGGAAAAGUGUUAUAGACCUUGAUUAAUGUGGUGACCGGGAUUGAGGAUUGCAGCGGAUACCCUUUUGGGUUAGUCACCUGGCUUCUGAUGAUUACCCUGCCUUCGAUAGCUUGCUGACGUUGGUGGGACUCGAUUGUCUAGAUGUUAGAGUGAUCAUAAAUUCGCUAAGGAUGCUGACGUAAUGGCUUUAAACGAC
RNAcentral lists this ribosomal RNA (726 nucleotides) under uncultured Acaulospora. RNAcentral's name for it is "eukaryotic LSU rRNA". It matches the Rfam family "Eukaryotic large subunit ribosomal RNA", at positions 38 to 648 of the family's 3401-position model. The record is from RNAcentral. Lineage: Eukaryota; Fungi; Glomeromycota; Glomeromycetes; Diversisporales; Acaulosporaceae.